AUGAACGCUGGCGGCGUGCCUAAUACAUGCAAGUCGUGCGAACAGACGAGGAGCUUGCUCCUCUGACGUUAGCGGCGGACGGGUGAGUAACACGUGGAUAACCUACCUAUAAGAUUGGGAUAACUUCGGGAAACCGGAGCUAAUACCGGAUAAUAUAUUGAACCGCAUGGUUCAAUAGUGAAAGACGGUUUUGCUGUCACUUAUAGAUGGAUCCGCGCCGCAUUAGCUAGUUGGUAAGGUAACGGCUUACCAAGGCAACGAUGCGUAGCCGACCUGAGAGGGUGAUCGGCCACACUGGAACUGAGACACGCUCCAGACUCCUACGGGAGGCAACAGUAGGGAAUCUUCCGCAAUGGGCGAAAGCCUGACGGAGCAACGCCGCGUGAGUGAUGAAGGUCUUCGGAUCGUAAAACUCUGUUAUUAGGGAAGAACAAAUGUGUAAGUAACUAUGCACGUCUUGACGGUACCUAAUCAGAAAGCCACGGCUAACUACGUG
Molecule: ribosomal RNA, 496 nt
Filed under: uncultured bacterium
Lineage: Bacteria
Description: partial 16S ribosomal RNA
Rfam family: Bacterial small subunit ribosomal RNA
Source: RNAcentral